This 253-nucleotide ribosomal RNA is filed under the name uncultured bacterium. RNAcentral's name for it is "partial 16S ribosomal RNA". It matches the Rfam family "Bacterial small subunit ribosomal RNA", at positions 524 to 776 of the family's 1533-position model. The record is from RNAcentral.
UACGGGGGGGGCAAGCGUUGUUCGGAUUCAUUGGGCGUAAAGGGUGUGUAGGUGGCGCCGUAAGUCGGGUGUGAAAUUUCGGAGCUUAACUCCGAAACUGCAUUCGAUACUGCGGUGCUUGAGGACUGGAGAGGAGACUGGAAUUUACGGUGUAGCAGUGAAAUGCGUAGAUAUCGUAAGGAAGACCAGUGGCGAAGGCGGGUCUCUGGACAGUUCCUGACACUGAGACACGAAGGCCAGGGGAGCAAACGGG